AUGUUCAAUUUCAGGAAAAAGUUUGAUAUUUAAUAACCGUACCCAAAACCGACACUGGUGAACAAGUCGAAUAGACUCAGGCGUUGAGAUAACCAUGCUGAAGGAACUCGGCAAAAUAUUCCCGUACCUUAGGAAGAAGGGAAACCAAAUAUUGGUGACACAAAAAUGAGGGUGACGACUUUUUACUAAAAAAUUAGGACUCUGCAAAAUGGUAA
RNAcentral lists this ribosomal RNA (215 nucleotides) under Ostreococcus mediterraneus. Its description in RNAcentral is "partial Bacterial large subunit ribosomal RNA". It matches the Rfam family "Bacterial large subunit ribosomal RNA", at positions 1598 to 1836 of the family's 2925-position model. The record is from RNAcentral. Lineage: Eukaryota; Viridiplantae; Chlorophyta; Mamiellophyceae; Mamiellales; Bathycoccaceae.